UUUUAUUACGUGAUAUAAUAUUUGUUAAUAUUAUAUUAUUUUCAUUGAAUAACAUAAAUUGUAUAAUAUUAUAUUGUGAAUUGUUACAUAUAAUAUAUUAUAUAAUAUAUAUAUUAUAAAUAUAUUGUAUAAAUAAAAAAUAAUUUUAUAGAAAAAUGCUUUUUUAGAAAAUAAUAUAUUUCAUUAAAUUUAUUAUUAUAUAUUAUAUUGGAUUAAAUAUAAAGGUUUGAAUGUCUAAACAUUGGUAUUUUUAAUUUUUUUUU
RNAcentral lists this long non-coding RNA (263 nucleotides) under Ananas comosus (pineapple). Its description in RNAcentral is "long non-coding RNA (ACOM_LNC013821)". The record is from RNAcentral. Lineage: Eukaryota; Viridiplantae; Streptophyta; Magnoliopsida; Poales; Bromeliaceae.